GAUUAUUAAAUUGAAUAUAUUUUUGGUUAAAUAUUUUUAUAAAAAUAUUUUAAUUUUCUAGUAUUUUUUGAAAUAAAUUUAUUUUCUAUAGUUUAAAGUACUGUUAAGGAAUUUUAAUAAUUAUUUAAAAGUACUUUUUUAAGGUACCUUUUGUAUCAGGGUAGAUUAACUUAUUUUAUAUAUUUUAAUUUUCUCGAAGUUUUAGGAUUUAUAAUCAUAUCUAAUAUAUUAUAUCAAAACUAUUUAUAAUAUGAUUAUAGAUGAGAUAUUCUUUUCAACUAAAAAUAUCUAGUUUUUUAAUAAAUAAAUUUAAUUUAUGAUCAAAAUUUUAUUUGAAUUUAAUUAUUUUUUUUGAUCAAAAUCUAAAUGGGAUAAUCUAUUUAGAUUUAGUGUAAGUUAUAAAAAAUAUUAUUUUUUGUAGGUUUAAAAUUGUCCAUCUUAUAUUUUUUUAUAAAAAGAAGUGUUUUUAUAUUUAUUUAUUUUACUUCACUUUUUUAUUAGAAAAAAUUAAUCAAUUUUUCCUUAAUUGAUAAAAUGAUUUAAUUAAUUUUUUUGCUAAAUAAGAAAUAGUAAUUCGGCAAAAUUGAUUUUCACCUGUUUAACAAAAACAUGUCUUUUUGGUUUUAUAAAAAGUUUGGCCUGCCCAAUGAUUUAUUUAAUGGCUGCAGUAUUUUGACUGUACAAAGGUAGCAUAAUCACUUGUCCUUUAAUUGAGGUCUGGAAUGAACGGUUGAAUGAAAAAUCUACUUUCUUUUUUUUAAAUUAAAAAUUUAAUCUUUUAGUUAAAAAGCUAAAAUAUAUUUAUAGGACGAGAAGACCCUUUAGAACUUUAUUUUUUAUAUAAAAAAUUUUUGUUGGUUAAUAAUGUAAUUUUUAUUGUAAAAUUUUGUUGGGGUGACAGAAAAAAAUUAAUAACUUUUUCUAUUUAUAUCAUACAUACAUGAAUAUUUGAUCCUUUUUUAGGAAUAGAAGAUUAAGUUACCUAAGGGAUAACAGCGUUAUUAUUUUAGAGAGUUCAUAUCGAUAAAAUAGUUUGCGACCUCGAUGUUGGAUUAUAAUAAAAUAUAGGAGCAGAAUAUUAUAUUUUGGGUCUGUUCGACCCUUAAAUUUUUACAUGAUCUGAGUUCAGACCGGCGUAAGCCAGGUUGGUUUCUAUCCAUAAUUAAUUUUUAAACUUUAGUACGAAAGGACCAUGUUUAAGGAAUAUUUUUAUUGUUUUUUUAUAUAAAAU
This 1231-nucleotide ribosomal RNA is filed under the name Cyrtorhinus lividipennis. RNAcentral describes it as "16S ribosomal RNA". The stretch from base 802 to 1162 matches the Rfam family "Archaeal large subunit ribosomal RNA", at positions 2150 to 2716 of the family's 2987-position model. The record is from RNAcentral. Lineage: Eukaryota; Metazoa; Arthropoda; Insecta; Hemiptera; Miridae.